This 113-nucleotide ribosomal RNA is filed under the name Pteropus alecto (black flying fox). Lineage: Eukaryota; Metazoa; Chordata; Mammalia; Chiroptera; Pteropodidae. The record is from RNAcentral.
GGAUGUGGUUCCACCCUGAAUAAGUCAGAUGUCUGAUCUCAGAAGCUAAGCAGAGUGGGGCCUGGUUAGUACUUGGAUGGGAGACCACCUAAGAAGACCAGGUGCUAUAGGCA